GGCCUUUGCUCCAGACCCACCUGCACAGGAGGUCCUGGGCUUGGGUCCUCGGCGCCAUGGCAGCAGAGGGUCUCUGGGGGCCUACCAUGAGACUGUCAUGACACCGUGGGGCUCCCCUCAAGGGCCCAGAGCCCCUUCAGGGACAGGCAGCAGCACAGACCCUGGGACCUCGAGCGUGGGUGGUCAGCCGCCUCGGGCCCAGCAGCACGGAGACCCUUGCUCACCCUGCACUCCCACACCUAGAGCAUGGAGAAGGCGCCGGUGCCGUCCGUGACGCUCAUCGUGGGCUGUGGCGUGUCGUCCCUCACCCUGCUCCUGCUGGUCAUCAUCUACGUGUCCGUGUGGAGGUGGGUGCCCACCCCGGGAUGCCUGGCUGGGGGAGGUGGGCCCCGAGCUCCAUCGCCUCCCAGGACCUGUGUCCCGCCUCUCCUCCGCCUGCGGCCCCAGCCGGCCCUCUGCACAGCCCGCCCACACCUGUUUUCUGUUUCUUAUUGCUGUGUCCACAUACGCAAGUGUCCCUGUCCCACUGAAGCCGGGCAGGGUGGACGUGUGGCCACACCUUGCUUCAGCUGGGUCCGCACUACAGAGGUGCCUAUUUCUUCUGACACACUCUGUGGUGGAUGCCCACCCCAAGCCCCACGGCAGGAGCACGUGAAGCACCUGCCCCUUGCCCACCGAGUCCUCUUGGUCACCUAAUACCCCUGUGUGUCCUCACAUGGGACCUGCAAGGCCAUAGCUCCUAGGACCACAGCCUGGGACCAGGCUCAGGGCCCAGAACCUCUCCUGCUGCCCUGCCCCACGCUCCUUCCCUCGAGGCCACAGGGGCUCAGCACAAGAACCCCAGGCCUGCGAUGGGCCCCGUCUGUCCACCCCAUACACACCAGGGGGUGUGCACGCAGGGGUGGGGCCAUGGCGGAUGCAGGCUUGGGUCAGAGCAUGGGGCUGGGUAGUCACAGCGGUGUGUCCUUAACUGAAGGUCUGUGACCAGGUGGCUGAGUGGCCAGUCUCCCUACCGUCUAAAUCUAGGCCUCCCUGGUCCCCACCCAUCAAGUAGUUUACAGCAAGAAGGGUGAGCUCAAGGUCGCUGGCGAGGCGGCCACCCAGGAUGUCCAGAGGGUGUGCGGCCCCCGCGCCUGGCCCCUUCUGCUCUUCAGGCAGCAAGUUGUCAGCCAGUAAUUGGGACUGAUGGCCUGGCCACCGCCUGGGGUCAGGCAGUAAGAGGUCAGUGCGGGCUGGGUGGGGAGGGAGACAGGCGCUCUCCUGGUGACUGGGUCGCCAUUAGCAGCAGGCACCCUCCGCUAUCCUGCCCCAGAGCAGAGCGUCCUCUGCUCCUCUCCUGGGGUCUGCAGGGAGCCACGGCAUCCGUGUCCCCAUAGCUCUUCCCCUGGGAACUGGGGCCCCCAGAAGUUUGGGGUUAGGGCUGGGGGGCCCCGAGCUCCAGGUCUGGCUCACAGAGCUUUUGCUCCUGAGGUUGUCAGAGCACCUUCCUCAGAGCCCUACUGACUGUCCCAGCGCCCCUGUCAGCUGCAGGCAGGGACAGUUCUGAUGGGUCCAUGAGGAAUCGGGAUCCAGAGAGGGAUAGGAAAUACCCAAGGUCACACAGCACUUCAGAGCUAUGUCAGGGCCCCCAAAGCUCAGCCAUGUACCUUCUGCUCUGCACCUGGGUGGAUCUAGGUACCAAGGGCUAGUGGUGAUGAUGGUAGUGAUGAUGGCCAUGUAAUUACGGUGUUGGUGGUGACGUGAUGGUGGUGGUGAUAGUGGUAAUGGUGGAUGGUGUUGGUAGUGAUGGUGGUACUGAUGGUGGUGGUGGUGGUGAUGAUGGCGUUGAUAUGGUGGUUGUGGUGGUGACGGUGAUGGUGGUGGUGAUAGUGAUAAUGGUGAUGUGAUGGUGUUGGUAGUGAUGAUGGCACUGAUGGUGGUGGUGAUAAUGGUGUUGAUGUGAUGGUGGUGAUGGUGAUUAUGGUGCUGGUGGUUGUAGAGUUGGUAGUUGUGGUGGCAGUGAUGGUUGUUGUGGUGAUAGUGAUGGUGAUGGUGAUGGUGGUGUUGGUGGUUAUAGGGGUAGUGUGGUGAUGGUGGUGUAAUGGUGAUACGGUCAUGGUGGUAGUGAUGAUUGUUGUGAUGGUGAUUUUAAUGGUGAUAGUGAUAGUGGUAGUUGUGAUACGGGUGCUGAUGGUGGUGGUGAUGGUUGUGGUGGUAGUGGUGGUGAUGAUGGUGGUACUGAUCCUGAUGGUGGUGGUCAUGGUGGUGGAGAUACUGGUGCUGGUGAUGGUGGUGGUGAGGUUUGUGGUGGUGACAGUGAUGGUGGUGGUGGUGGUGGGAGUGGUGAGAUUGUGAUAAUGAUGGUGGGGAUGGUUGUGGUGGUGGUGACAGUGAUGGUGGUGGUACUAAUGGUGUGAUGGCGGUAGUUGUGGUGUUAUUGAAGUAGUGAGGGGAAUAGUGGUGGUGAUGGUGACCGUGACUGCGUGGAGGAGGUAGGUAGGGCCCUGGUCUUGGGGUAAGGACCCUAGCUCUUGUGAAGAGAAGGCUAACCUCAGGCCCCAUAUUCUCCCACAGGUAUAUCCGCUCAGAGCGGUCAGUCAUCCUCAUCAACUUCUGUCUGUCCAUCAUCUCUUCCAAUGCCCUCAUCCUCAUUGGGCAGACACAGACCCGCAACAAGGUAGGUGGCCUUGUGCCGUCAUGUGCAUGUCCCAGUGUCUUCCAGUGUCUUCGGGUGGGGUGGGUUGGUCCCGCAGCAGGGGCCUCCUCCAGCCAGCAGUGAGUCUGGAAGCUCACAGUGGGGAUGCUGAUUUGCCCUUCCUCAGUGCCCCGUCCUGCUGCCCCCUCCCACUAAACAUGGCAGGCUCAGACCUCAGGUGGGAGCCUCUUCUUCCUCAAGGGGCCACCCCAACCUGUAGGGGACAGAGGCAUUGCAUGAGUGGGCUCCUGGGCUGGCGUCUGGUAGAAGCCGGGAGGAGGGGUCUGUCCCUGGCAGUCACCCACCCUCAGCCUUAGGUUUCAGCGCCCAUCUCGGCAGGGACUGGGUCACCCCUCAGCUGCUUCCUGCCUGGGGACUUGGCCUGGUCACAGCUGGGGACGCUGGGUGCUGGGGGCACUGGCACCAGGGGCGGCGAGCGCCUGCCCAGCCCUGCCCGCCCUGCCUGCCCCCAGGUGGUGUGCACGCUGGUGGCGGCCUUCCUGCACUUCUUCUUCCUCUCCUCCUUCUGCUGGGUGCUCACCGAGGCCUGGCAGUCCUACAUGGCGGUCACCGGCCGCCUGCGGAACCGGCUCAUCCGCAAGCGCUUCCUCUGCCUGGGCUGGGGUGAGCGUCCACAGGGCGGGCCUCCGCGGGUGUUGGCCAGCGGGUGGGCUGCCCUCUCUGAGCCUCCUCCACCCUCCGUCCUAGCCCCUGCUCUCCUUCCUGUCCUGCGGCCCUCUCCACCCGCCCUCCCCUUGUGAGUCUUCCUGAGCCCUGGGGCUCCUCCCUCUUUGCCGGGUCCAUUCAGAUGGCCCAGUUCAAGGUGACCUUCAGAGAGCAAGCAGCUCUUCAGCAGGAGUGUUCUGAGCAGUACUUAGAACAGGCUUACAUGAAACACGCCUCCUGGCUCCGUGAGACCCAGGUGUGCCUGGCCGUCCUGUCCCCCAGCCCUCUCCUUCAGCGACCUCCUGUCCACCCCUCACACACUGUCCUCUGGGGUUUGAGACAUGUCCCUGCUGCGCCCUCGGCAGGGCUCAGCAUGGCCAACCGGCUCUUCUGUCCUUCUGCAGGGCUCCCUGCGCUGGUGGUGGCCAUUUCUGUGGGAUUCACCAAGGCCAGAGGGUACAGCACGAUGAACUAGUGAGUCAGGGGGGUGGGGGCAUGGUGACACCACCCGGAUCCCUGACUUUUGACCAUCCGGGAGGGUGAGGGCUGCCAUGCCCUCUGCCCUGUCUGGCCGGGUGCUGUCCCAGGGAGACUGGGAGGGCGGGCCCUGGGUGGAAGCUGAGCCUUCAGGCAGGCCCUGGCUUCUGCCCAGGUGUGGGCAGGGGGUUGAGAGAAAUGGGCGGGGCCAGCAGACCCUCAGGUGCACCUUCUUGUUGGGGCAUAGUCCCCUGGCCUCGGCACCCUCCACAGGUGUUGAGCCCACGGACAGCUCAGCAGGUUCCCUCCCAUGAGCCUUUGGGGCAAGGCGGGGGCAGGGUCCACUUCACAGAUGAAGUCUCUGAGGACCUUUUAAAGGGUCGUCUGGGCCAGGUCCUGGGAGCCUUAAAUGCUGAGCUGGGACACUUGGGGCUUAUCUUAAAGGCAAUAUGGGGUCCCCUGGUGGGGAAGAGGGCCUGGGCUCAGGAGGGGAGUUGGGGUGGGCAGAGUGGGGCAGGGUUGCGGGGUGGGGCAGGUGGGGAGCGAGGUCCCCUGGGCAGGUGGGCGUGGCUCUGUGGGGCCCAGGGGCGCAGCGGCAGCAUGCUGGGGAGCCCUGAGCGGGCUGCGCAGGGGGUCAGGCUUCGGUGCAGAUGGCUUGGAGCCCAGCGGGGUGAGUGCCGGGCGGGAAAUGUGGCCUGCCCCAGAGAUGAGAGGAGGAGCAAGGGGGGGAAGCCGCGGUUGGUUUUCAAGGGUGAGGAUGAGUGUGCUCCGUGGACACUCCCGGCCACAGGGGAUGCCCUGUAGCACCCCAGUGUCCCACAGGGAUGGUUCUGUGGGCACCUGGUGGUUUCCAGUGAGGGCGGUGUGGGGCUGAUAAGUGGGAAGGGCCAGGCCAGGUGCGUCGUCCAGAGCAGAAGGACCUUGGUCUUGCUGGCCUGGACCCUGCCGUGUGGUUCUGAGCAGGCGUGUCCCCUGUGCUGGGCCUUCUUCCAUCUGAAGCAGGGAUGACAUUGGCCCUCUGGGGCUCCUGGGGAUCGCAAAGCCAAGUGUGUGAAGUGCCCUGUAUGCAGGAGGUGCUCACUAGGCGCUGCUCCUGUCGUCCUAGAGGGCGGGGGUCCUCACAGCCUCUCUCCCUGCAGCUGCUGGCUCUCCCUGGAGGGGGGACUUCUGUACGCCUU
RNAcentral lists this long non-coding RNA (4995 nucleotides) under Marmota monax (woodchuck). Lineage: Eukaryota; Metazoa; Chordata; Mammalia; Rodentia; Sciuridae. The record is from RNAcentral.